Molecule: long non-coding RNA, 269 nt
Filed under: Mytilus galloprovincialis (Mediterranean mussel)
Lineage: Eukaryota; Metazoa; Mollusca; Bivalvia; Mytilida; Mytilidae
Source: RNAcentral
GAAGUCCGCUAACUGCAGUUUCAUUUAUUCUCCAGAAAGAUAAUGUAUGCAUUUGUCCAAAUGUCAUUGAUGUUUACUGAUGAAAAACACGUUUAGGAUUAAGGUUGAAAUGCAGUAUUUUAUUAUAAACCAUAUCGAAGUCAAUGGGAGAGAACUUGUGAGAUCCACACACAACAUCCACAUUAACUUAAAUCCUUGGUGAAGGAUACUCAUCUUUUAUGGUCUUUCCAUUUAAUUUCCUGUAAUCCACACAAGGCCGCGAUGACGAG